RNAcentral lists this ribosomal RNA (483 nucleotides) under uncultured bacterium. RNAcentral describes it as "partial 16S ribosomal RNA". It matches the Rfam family "Bacterial small subunit ribosomal RNA", at positions 30 to 506 of the family's 1533-position model. The record is from RNAcentral.
AUUGAACGCUGGCGGCAGGCCUAACACAUGCAAGUCGAGCGGAUGAAGGGAGCUUGCUCCUGGAUUCAGCGGCGGACGGGUGAGUAAUGCCUAGGAAUCUGCCUGGUAGUGGGGGAUAACGUCCGGAAACGGGCGCUAAUACCGCAUACGUCCUGAGGGAGAAAGUGGGGGAUCUUCGGACCUCACGCUAUCAGAUGAGCCUAGGUCGGAUUAGCUAGUUGGUGGGGUAAAGGCCUACCAAGGCGACGAUCCGUAACUGGUCUGAGAGGAUGAUCAGUCACACUGGAACUGAGAAACGGUCAAGACUCCUACGGGAGGCAGAAGUGGGGAAUAUUGGAAAAUGGGCGAAAGCCUGAUCCUGCCAUGCCGCGUGUGUGAAGAAGGUCUUCGGAUUGUAAAGCACUUUAAGUUGGGAGGAAGGGCAGUAAGUUAAUACCUUGCUGUUUGGACGUUACCAACAGAAUAAGCACCGGCUAACUUCGU